This 497-nucleotide ribosomal RNA is filed under the name uncultured bacterium. RNAcentral's name for it is "partial 16S ribosomal RNA". It matches the Rfam family "Bacterial small subunit ribosomal RNA", at positions 28 to 507 of the family's 1533-position model. The record is from RNAcentral.
GAUGAACGCUGGCGGCGUGCCUAAUACAUGCAAGUCGAGCGAACAGACGAGGAGCUUGCUCCUCUGACGUUAGCGGCGGACGGGUGAGUAACACGUGGAUAACCUACCUAUAAGACUGGGAUAACUUCGGGAAACCGGAGCUAAUACCGGAUAAUAUAUUGAACCGCAUGGUUCAAUAGUGAAAGACGGUUUUGCUGUCACUUAUAGAUGGAUCCGCGCCGCAUUAGCUAGUUGGUAAGGUAACGGCAUACCAAGGCAACGAUGCGUAGCCGAUCUGAGAGGGUGAUCGGCCACACUGGAACUGAGACACGGUCCAGACUCCUACGGGAGGCAGCAGUAGGGAAUCUUCCGCAAUGGGCGAAGGCCUGACGGAGCAACGCGGCGUGAUUGAUGAAGGUCUUCGGAACGUAGAUCUCUGUUAUUAGGGAAGUACAAAUGUGUAAGUAACUGUGCACGUCUUGACGGUACCUAAUCAUAAAGCCACGGCUAACUACGUG